AGAUGCACUAAAAAGGGUUGAAGCCCACCAGAUGAGAAUCUGGUAAAAAGGAAAAAGAAGAAUCGAGACAAAGGGGAAGGGCCACGCAACAGAAAAUAGAGAAAAGGGGAUUUGGUGAAAUCCUAAUAAAGAAAAAAACUUUACAAGAACAAAGAAGAAGAAGAAGAAGAAGAAGAAGAAGAAGAGAGGAGAAGAAGGAGGAGGAGGAGGAGGUUUAAUUCUUGAUGCCUGUUCAUAAUCCUUAUAGCACAGCCUCUUCUCUGGUUAAAAGGUAGUUGAAGAAGUGGAACGAAGUACUCGAGGUGAUGCGUUUGGUAUUCCUGCACGAGUAAUGUAGUUGAAGAAGUGGAACGAAGUGCUCGAGGUGAUGCGUUUGGUAUUCCUGCACGAGUAAUGUGAGUAUUAAUCUUACCUCAAUUUGUGUUUUCAUAACUUUCAUGGUUUAUAUAUGAUUUUGAAAAUAAAU
Nicotiana tabacum (common tobacco) is the source of this 466-nucleotide non-coding RNA. NCBI's taxonomy places the organism in Eukaryota, Viridiplantae, Streptophyta, Magnoliopsida, Solanales, Solanaceae. The record is from RefSeq and is a predicted model, not a curated record.